This 492-nucleotide ribosomal RNA is filed under the name uncultured bacterium. RNAcentral's name for it is "partial 16S ribosomal RNA". It matches the Rfam family "Bacterial small subunit ribosomal RNA", at positions 29 to 507 of the family's 1533-position model. The record is from RNAcentral.
AGCGAACGCUGGCGGUAGGCCUAACACAUGCAAGUCGAACGGCAGCACAGUAAGAGCUUGCUCUUACGGGUGGCGAGUGGCGGACGGGUGAGGAAUACAUCGGAAUCUACUUUUUCGUGGGGGAUAACGUAGGGAAACUUACGCUAAUACCGCAUACGACCUACGGGUGAAAGCAGGGGAUCUUCGGACCUUGCGCGAUUGAAUGAGCCGAUGUCGGAUUAGCUAGUUGGCGGGGUAAAGGCCCACCAAGGCGACGCUCCGUAGCUGGUCUGAGAGGAUGAUCAGCCACACUGGAACUGAGACACGGUCCAGACUCCUACGGGAGGCAGCAGUGGGGAAUAUUGGACAAUGGGCGCAAGCCUGAUCCAGCCAUACCGCGUGGGUGAAGAAGGCCUUCGGGUUGUAAAGCCCUUUUGUUGGGAAAGAAAAGCAGCAGGUUAAUACCCCGCUGUUCUGACGGUACCCAAAGAAUAAGCACCGGCUAACUUCGUG